Molecule: long non-coding RNA, 292 nt
Filed under: Zonotrichia albicollis (white-throated sparrow)
Lineage: Eukaryota; Metazoa; Chordata; Aves; Passeriformes; Passerellidae
Description: lncRNA (ENSZALG00000003147.1)
Source: RNAcentral
UCUGAUGUUGAAUCAUUUAUAGCAGGCUUUUAAAAAAUAUUUAUGAUUCUAGGGAUGCUUCUCUGCUAAUUUAUUACUUGGAAUUGAUUGCUAGAUGUGAACAUGGGUUUAACCCUACGCUUGUGCUCAAAUCCUGAUUGACCUGAACAGCACCAAGAUAUCACAGAAUUUACAAUAGACACAGAAUUUAGAAUAUCAGAUGAAAAGGAGACCUCAGGGUUAUUCAGCCCAAUUUGUCUUGGUAAAGACAAGGAGUGUGGGAGUUGAUCUUUCCAUCCUGCACGGGCAGUGA